CGUAUCACCCAAGACAACUUUACGGAGUUGACGAUUGACGGAGCGAAGCGACGUCAAAGCGUUCAUUAAAGUCGAGUUGGCUUAGGGAUACGUUCGUUGGGUAGGGGAGCGUUCUGUAAGCCUGUGAAGGUGUGUCGUGAGGCAUGCUGGAGGUAUCAGAAGUGCGAAUGCUGACAUAAGUAACGAUAAAGCGGGUGAAAAGCCCGCUCGCCGGAAGACCAAGGGUUCCUGUCCAACGUUAAUCGGGGCAGGGUGAGUCGACCCCUAAGGCGAGGCCGAAAGGCGUAGUCGAUGGGAAACGGGUUAAUAUUCCCGUACUUGGUGUUACUGCGAAGGGGGGACGGAGAAGGCUAUGUUGGCCGGGCGACGGUUGUCCCGGUUUAAGCGUGUAGGUGUGUGUUCCAGGUAAAUCCGGUUCACUUUAACACUGAGGCGUGACGACGAGGCACUACGGUGCUGAAGCAACAAAUGCCCUGCUUCCAGGAAAAGCCUCUAAGCAUCAGGUAACACGAAAUCGUACCCCAAACCGACACAGGUGGUCAGGUAGAGAAUACCAAGGCGCUUGAGAGAACUCGGGUGAAGGAACUAGGCAAAAUGGUGCCGUAACUUCGGGAGAAGGCACGCUGACACGUAGGUGAAGUGAUUUACUCAUGGAGCUGAAGUCAGUCGAAGAUACCAGCUGGCUGCAACUGUUUAUUAAAAACACAGCACUGUGCAAACACGAAAGUGGACGUAUACGGUGUGACGCCUGCCCGGUGCCGGAAGGUUAAUUGAUGGGGUCAGCGUAAGCGAAGCUCCUGAUCGAAGCCCCGGUAAACGGCGGCCGUAACUAUAACGGUCCUAAGGUAGCGAAAUUCCUUGUCGGGUAAGUUCCGACCUGCACGAAUGGCGUAAUGAUGGCCAGGCUGUCUCCACCCGAGACUCAGUGAAAUUGAACUCGCUGUGAAGAUGCAGUGUACCCGCGGCAAGACGGAAAGACCCCGUGAACCUUUACUAUAGCUUGACACUGAACAUUGAGCCUUGAUGUGUAGGAUAGGUGGGAGGCUUUGAAGUGUGGACGCCAGUCUGCAUGGAGCCGACCUUGAAAUACCACCCUUUAAUGUUUGAUGUUCUAACGUGGACCCGUAA
RNAcentral lists this ribosomal RNA (1128 nucleotides) under Salmonella enterica. RNAcentral's name for it is "partial 23S ribosomal RNA". It matches the Rfam family "Bacterial large subunit ribosomal RNA", at positions 1154 to 2238 of the family's 2925-position model. Lineage: Bacteria; Pseudomonadati; Pseudomonadota; Gammaproteobacteria; Enterobacterales; Enterobacteriaceae. The record is from RNAcentral.